RNAcentral lists this ribosomal RNA (253 nucleotides) under uncultured bacterium. RNAcentral describes it as "partial 16S ribosomal RNA". It matches the Rfam family "Bacterial small subunit ribosomal RNA", at positions 524 to 776 of the family's 1533-position model. The record is from RNAcentral.
UACGAAGGGUGCAAACGUUGCUCGGAAUUAUUGGGCGUAAAGCGCACGUAGGCGGCUUAGCAAGUCGGAAGUGAAAUCCCUCGGCUCAACCAAGGAAGUGCUUUCGAAACUGCUGAGCUUGAGUACUAAAGAGGAUCGCGGAAUUCCCGGUGUAGAGGUGAAAUUCGUAGAUAUCGGGAGGAACACCAGUGGCGAAGGCGGCGAUCUGGGUCGAUACUGACGCUGAGGUGCGAAAGCGUGGGGAGCAAACAGG